CCUACGGGAGGCAGCAGUGAGGAAUAUUGGGCAAUGGGCGCGAGCCUGAACCAGCCAAGUCGCGUGAGGGAAGACGGUCCUAUGGUUUGUAAACCCCUUUAGUAGGGGAGCAAAAGACGCCGCGCGUGCUUUUCCGAGAGUACCCGAAGAAAGAGCAUCGGCUAACUCCGUGCCAGCAGCCGCGGUAGUAGGGAGGAUGCGAGCGUUAUCCGGAUUGAUGGGGUUAAAAGGGAGGGCAGGCGGAAGAUCAAGUAAGUGGGAAAAUUAAGGGGCUAAACCACUACGUGCCGUUGAAACUGGUGUUCUUGAGUGAGUGAGAGGUAGGCGGAAUGCGUGGUGUAGCGGUGAAAUGCGUAGAUAUCCCGCAGAACUCCGGUGGCGAAGGCAGCAUACCGGCGCUCAACUGACGCUCAUGCGCGAAAGUGUGGGUAUCGAACAGGAUUAGAUACCCUGGUAGUC
RNAcentral lists this ribosomal RNA (459 nucleotides) under uncultured bacterium. Its description in RNAcentral is "partial 16S ribosomal RNA". It matches the Rfam family "Bacterial small subunit ribosomal RNA", at positions 338 to 795 of the family's 1533-position model. The record is from RNAcentral.